AGAGUUUGAUCCUGGCUCAGAGCGAACGCUGGCGGCAGGCUUAACACAUGCAAGUCGAACGGGCGUAGCAAUACGUCAGUGGCAGACGGGUGAGUAACGCGUGGGAACAUACCUCUUGGUUCGGAACAACACAGGGNAAACUUGUGCUAAUACCGGAUAAGCCCUUACGGGGAAAGAUUUAUCGCCGAGAGAUUGGCCCGCGUCUGAUUAGCUAGUUGGUAGGGUAAUGGCCUACCAAGGCGACGAUCAGUAGCUGGUCUGAGAGGAUGAUCAGCCACAUUGGGACUGAGACACGGCCCAAACUCCUACGGGAGGCAGCAGUGGGGAAUAUUGGACAAUGGGCGCAAGCCUGAUCCAGCCAUGCCGCGUGAGUGAUGAAGGCCCUAGGGUUGUAAAGCUCUUUUGUACGGGAAGAUAAUGACGGUACCGUAAGAAUAAGCCCCGGCUAACUUCGUGCCAGCAGCCGCGGUAAUACGAAGGGGGCUAGCGUUGCUCGGAAUCACUGGGCGUAAAGGGUGCGUAGGCGGGUUUUUAAGUCAGAGGUGAAAUCCUGGAGCUCAACUCCAGAACUGCCUUUGAUACUGAAAGUCUUGAGUAUGGGAGAGGUGAGUGGGAACUGCGAAGUGUAGAGGUGAGAUUCGUUAGAUAUUCGCAAGAACACCAGGUGGCGGAAGGCGGCUCACUGGCCCAUAACUGACG
Molecule: ribosomal RNA, 699 nt
Filed under: uncultured bacterium
Lineage: Bacteria
Description: bacterial SSU rRNA
Rfam family: Bacterial small subunit ribosomal RNA
Source: RNAcentral